CUGAGCUCCUCACCCGAGCCGAAAAAUACAUUAAUAUGUAGGAAACACUAAAUCCAAGGAAACCUGGUCCUUCCCAUGAAAAGGCCAAGAAUAAGAGGCAACAUGAUCCCAUUCCCCGGCAUGAGCUUCCUCGGGAUAAGCGUAGGAAUGAGGCGUCGUCAGCACCACUCACUCGGUUGAACACCUCUAAGACAAAUAUCUUGAUGGAGAUUAAGGAUAUGAAAGAAUUAAAGUGGCCUUCAAGGAUAAAGUCACCCCCUGACACAAGAGAUAGGAGCAAGUAUCGCGAAUUUCACCGGGAUCAUGGGCAUACCACAGAGGAUUGUCAUGUUUUAUAGCGAGAAAUUGAAGUCCUUAUCAAAAGAGGAUUUUUAAAGAAUUACAUUGGUCAUGAUAAACACCCGAGGAAUGACCGUGACAAUCGAAAAGAGCCUGGAGCCGGAAGCAGUGCUCAACCCACCGCCAGGACCAUUAAUAUUAUAGUUGGGGGCAUAGCAUCCGGAGGAGACACAAGUACUGGGCGAAAGCAGUAUGCCCGCCAACAUGCUCAUAUGCCAAGCGAAUCCCAUGAUGAAGUCAAAGACAUCACUUUUGAAGCAACAGAUUUGGAAGGAAUAUCAUAUCCUCAUGACGAUGCCUUGGUCGUCUCUGCGAUUGUGGCUAACUUCGAAGUAAAAAGGAUUCUGGUUGAUAAUGAGAGUGCAGCAAAUAUACUCUCGUAGGAGGCUUUCGCCAAAAUGGGGAUCUCUCCCAAACAGCUCAAAGCAGUAAAAACUCCUCUACAGGGAUUUGGUGGUGGAGUCAUUAUCCCUGAAGGCAUCGUCGAGCUCCCGCUUACAUUAGGAACUAGUAACACACAAGUGACGGAGAUCACACCAUUCCAAGUGGUUAAUACCCCAAUGGCCUACAACAUCAUUUUGGGAAGACCCCUACUGAACAAAAUCCAGGAUAUUGUGUCAACUUUCCACGUAGCCAUGAAGUUCCCCACAUGUCAUGGCAUCAGAGUAGUUUGAGGAGACCAAACAGCUGUCAGACAGUGCUAUGUUACUAGCAACCGAGGGAUGAGUACUGACGUCAUGCAACUUUCAGACCUCGAGCUCGAGCUCGAGCCAAGGAGUAGAUUGGGCCCCGUUGAGAAAUUGGAAGUGGUCGAGCUCGAGCAAGGAAAAGUGGUUACUAUUGGUCGGGAUCUUAAGGCCAGCCUUCGGGAGGAAGUCAUCAAUUGUCUGUCCCACAACAUUUAUAUUUUUGCAUGGAAGGUGGAGGAUAUGCCAGGGAUAGACCCAGAAGUAGCUGUCCAUAGACUCAAUAUCAGCCCAGAGGCCAAACCUGUUAAGCAAAAGAAGAGGCAGUUUGUGCCGAAAAGACGUAUGGUCAUUCAGCAAGAGGUCGACAAAUUAAUGAGAGCGGGGUUCAUUAGGGAAGUCCAAUACCCCGAUUGGCUCGCUAACGUUGUUCUUGUAAAGAAGGUCAGUGGCAAAUGGAGGGUUUGCAUCGACUUCACCGAUCUCAAUAAGGCAUGCCCAAAAGACAGCUACUCGCUACCCAGGAUUGAUAAUCUUGUGGAUAGCACAUUCGUACAUAAGCUGUACAGCUUUUUAGACGCAUUCUCAGGAUAUCAUCAAAUCUUCAUGGCCAAAGAAAACCAAGAGAAGACCUCAUUUAUAGCUGAUUCAGCCAUAUAUUGCUAUCGGGUCAUGCCGUUUAGGUUGAAGAAUGCUGGGACAACAUAUCAGAGCCUGAUCAACAAAAUCUUUGCUAAUUUGAUAGGGAAGAAUACUGAGGCCUACGUUGAUGACAUGGGGGUAAAGAGCAGGAAGCUAGAAAGACAUGUAUCUGAUCUCGAGGAAGUGUUCGCCACCCUACGAAAGUAUAAGAUGAAGCUCAAUCCUGAAAAGUGUCUAUUUGGCGUUGCUUCGAGAAAGUUUCUGGGUUUUAUAAUCACUCAUCAGGGGAUUGAGGCCAACCCCGAUAAGAUUCAGGUUUGGCAGCAAUGGAAUCACCAAGGACCAAGAAAGAAGUUCAAAAGUUGACAGACAGGGUAGCCGCCUUAAACAUGUUCAUGUCCUGAGCAACAGACAGGUGCUUCCCUUUCUUCAAAGCCCUCAGAGGUAAUCAUUGCUUUGAAUGGAAUGAGGAGUGCGAGAAAGCUUUUCAGGAGCUCAAGCAGACAUUGGAAUCUCCUCCUAUCCUCACAAAACCCGAACCCGGGGAUACUUUGUAUUUGUACUUAGUCGUGUCUUAGAAUGCAGUGAGUGGUGUCUUGGUGAAAGAGGCUAACAGGGCCCAGCAACCCAUUUAUUACGUAAGCAAAGUCCUACCUGAUGCAGAAACAAGAUACACUUUCGCAGAACAGCUUACCCUUGCAGUGGUAGUGGCAACACGAAAGCUUCGACAAUAUUUUCAGUCACGUCCUAUUGUAGUACUCACCAAUCAGCCUCUAAAAUACAUUCUUCAAAAACUAGACGUCUCAAGAAGAUUACUGAAGUGGGCAAUUGAACUCGGAGAAUUUGACAUAGAGUUCAAGCCCCGUCCAUCUAUCAAAGCUCAGGCCUUAGCUGACUUCAUUGCAGAACUCACCCUAAGGCCUCGGGGGCCAAAUGGUAGCUCGAGCUCCUCCACAGGCGUGUGGCAAAUUUUUGUAGAUGGAGCAUCAAAUUCCUUGGCCUCGGGUGCAGGGGUCAUAAUCAUAAGCCCGGACAUGCUCAUAGACAUUCAGUGUGCACUCAGGUUCGAAUUUGAGGCAACCAAUAAUGAAGCAUAAUAUGAGGCCGUCAUCAUAGCCAUGGAACUUGCCAUCAUCUCGAGCUUGAAAAUAUCAAAAUUUACAGUGAUUUUCAGUUGGUCGUUGGACAAAUUGAAGGGACGUUCGAUAGGAAGGACAAGAAGAUGAGCUUAUAUUGCUUGAAAGUGCAUGAUCUCCAGAGAAAGUUCAAGAGUUGUGAAAUUGUGAAAAUUACUCGGGCUGAGAAUUGUAAGGCCGAUACCUUGUCAAGAUUGGUGUUUAUGGGAAUAGAUGGGCUUGAUAGGACAGUCCAUGUUAGAAUUGUAACCGAGCUAAGAUCAAUCAGACCAUAGGCGUCAUGGAUAUUGAUAAUGAGCCAUCGUGGAUAGAUCCAAUAGUGGACUGCGUAAAACAUGGCAAUCUUCCAGAAGAUCCUCGAGUGGCAAGAAGAAUCCGGUGCAAAGCUCUAACGUAUUGCAUGAUUGAAGGAGUUUUAUUUCACAGAAGCCUUACACUUCCAUACCUCAGAUGCCUUAAGCCUUCCGAAUCAUCUCAGGCCCUAGAAGAAGUUCAUAAAGGAAUAUGUGGGAACCAUCAAGGAGCUUGGGCAUUAGCCUUCAAGCUCAUAAGGUAUGAAUAUUAUUGGCCUACCAUGAAGAAAGAUGCUCGGGAACAUGUCAAAAAGUGUGACAAGUGCCAGAGAUUCGACAAUAUCAUCCACUCUCUCGCGGAGGACCUCACUAGCAUUACUUGCAUGGCCCGUUUGAGCAGUUGGGAAUUGACAUCCUUGGUCCCUUUCCAAUAACUAGGGGGCAAUUGAAGUUUGUGGCUAUGGCUGUAGAGUAUUUCACUAAAUGGGUGGAAGUUGAGCCUUUAACAACGAUUUCAGAGCCUAAGUUGAGAACUUUCAUUUGGAAGUCCAUCAUAUGCAGGUUCGGGAUACCGAAAGUCCUCAUAACUAAUAAUGGCAGGCAAUUUGACAACGCACAAUUUAAAAACUUCUGCUCUAACCUGGGGGUCAAUCACCGUUUGACAUCAAUUUCCCGUCCUCAAAGUAAUGGUCUUGUCGAAAUGACCAAUCAGAUUAUAUUGCAAGACUUCUGUACAAGGAUCGGAGAUGCAAGAGGUUCCUGGUCUGACGAGUUACCUUCCAUACUUUGGACAUAUAGAACGUCCCACAGAAUCGCUACGGGGGAACCCCCUUCAUGUUGGCUUUCGGUAUUGAGGCCACCAUCCCUGUUAAAGUCAGGUUGCCCAGCCAAAGAAGACUCGAGCCCGAAGAUACAGGGCGCACCACUGAACACCUCGACCUCUUGGAAGAAGUUCGUGAUCAGGCAAUUUUAAGAAUGGCCUCUUACUAAGAUAAAACAGCAAAGUAUUUCAAUAAAAAAGUGAGGACGCGGAGAUUCAGAGCCGGAGACCUUGUGUUAAGAAGAGCCAAAGCAGCAGAUCAUGCCCCGGGCAAGCUACAACCAAUUUGAGAAGGGCUUUCGAAGUCAUACGACAACUUCAAGGAGGUGCAUACAGUUUAAGGGAUACAUCAGGGAGACCACUUCCAAGACCAUGGAACGUCGAGAAUUUAAAAAUAUAUUACAAGUAACUUGUUCUUCCAUUUUUCGGUAGUCAGGCCUGCGUGUCAAGGUUCACGUUUUCAGUUUUCAGGCCUGCGUGCCAAGUCUUAUUUUUCGGUAGUUAGGCCUGCGUGCCAAGGUUCACGUUUUUAGUUGUCAGGCCUGCGUGCCAAGUCUAUUUUAAAGUAUAAUAAGAAUUAAACUAUUCAUCAAAA
RNAcentral lists this long non-coding RNA (4511 nucleotides) under Olea europaea subsp. europaea. Lineage: Eukaryota; Viridiplantae; Streptophyta; Magnoliopsida; Lamiales; Oleaceae. The record is from RNAcentral.